Molecule: ribosomal RNA, 559 nt
Filed under: uncultured archaeon
Lineage: Archaea
Description: bacterial SSU rRNA
Rfam family: Archaeal small subunit ribosomal RNA
Source: RNAcentral
CACGUGGACAACCUACCCUUGGGACCAGUAUAAUCCUGGGAAACUGGGCAUAAUGCUGGAUAGGUCACAAUUGCUGGAAUGCAUUGUGACUCAAAGCUCCGGCGCCCAAGGAUGGGUCUGCGGCCUAUCAGGGUAGUAGUGGGUGUAAUGUACCUACUAGCCUACGACGGGUACGGGUUGUGAGAGCAAGAGCCCGGAGAUGGAUUCUGAGACACGAAUCCAGGCCCUACGGGGUGCAGCAGGCGCGAAAACUUUACAAUGCGGGAAACCGUGAUAAGGGGAUCUCGAGUGCCAGCAUAUAAUGUUGGCUGUCCAGAUGCUUAAAAAGCAUUUGUUAGCAAGGGCCGGGCAAGACCGGUGCCAGCCGCCGCGGUAACACCGGCGGCCCGAGUGGUAACCGUUAUUAUUGGGUCUAAAGGGUCUGUAGCCGGCCAAGUAAGUCCUUUGGGAAAUCUGGUAGCUCAACUAUCAGGCUGCCAGGGGAUACUGCUUGGCUUGGGACCGGGAGAGGUGAGAGGUACCUCAGGGGUAGGGGUGAAAUCUUGUGAUCCUUGAGGGA